Molecule: RNA transcript, 6427 nt
Organism: Brassica rapa (field mustard)
Lineage: Eukaryota; Viridiplantae; Streptophyta; Magnoliopsida; Brassicales; Brassicaceae
Source: RefSeq, a predicted model, not a curated record
GAAAUUAUACAUUUACACUUUGUUGAGUACCCCUUUUCAAAUUUACACUCAGGAGGAGGACAUUUUCACAAAUACCUAAUUGUUUAGUAGCCGAAAGACAAUAAUAACCCUCGCAAUUUUAACCUUUUCUCUCGAAUCUCUCUAGCUCGCCAUCGAAGGCGACGAGAUUACAGAGCUACGACGGCGAUUCUAGCAACGGCGACGACAAAAGGUCUUCUCUCUCACUAGUCACGCCGUCUCUCUGGAAAGAGCAUCCGGUGACGACGAAUAACAAUCAGACUAUACGAUUCAAAAUUUCAUCUCAAAAAAUGUCGUCUACUCCUCACGAUUCUCCUCUACACGAUUCUCCUAUACACGAUUCUCCUCUUCACGAUUCUCCUAUUCAUGAUUCUUAUCUUCACGAUUCUCUACAAUUGGAUAGCAACGAGUUUUGCACAACCUUGAAAUUGCCUGGGAGGGUUUAUGAAGCUGUAGAAACACCAGAUAAUCCCAAAGCGAUAAUCCAUCACUCAAAGAUUGAUUAUAUCGAGAAGGUGGAAGAUAUAUUAGGAAAAGAAGAGUUUUCUUUCAUAGAGAACUCUCACAUUGGGAGCAUUUUGAAGUUGGUUAAAAGGAAUAGGGUUCAAUUUUCAGAAGAGUUGUUCCAUUUUCUAAUGCAGCGAAGAGUAUUGACGCAAGGAGAGGAUCUCUGGUUUACUUUCUCGGACCAGCCUAUGAGGUUUUCACUAAGGGAAUUUCAUCUGACAACAGGCUUACGUUGUGAGGAAGAUCAGACAAUAACAGAGCCGCUGUUCAAAAUAAUGAAGAAGCCAUACAUUUGGAUGCUGGGCAAGAUUGAUAAGUUUACGGUGAGAACGUUAUAUGAAAUGUUUAAAAAGAAAGCACGAAGCAUGCCAACACUAGAAAGAUUAUCCCUUGGAACAGCAAUACUCACAGAAGCGGUAAUUAUGGCAGAAAAUCCGAGUUCUAAAAUCCCGAGAGACAGGUUGCAGCGUUAUAUGAACUAUCGCUCACACAAGAUUGCUUGGGGUAAAACUGCUUAUAGAAUCUUGAUGAGAAGUGUAAAAAGUUUGAGUGCAAGUUCCUGGACAGGAGAUAGUUAUGAAGUGAGUGGUUUUGCGCUAGCCAUAAAUCUGUGGGCAAUGUCAUCAGUGAAUGUGCUUGGUAAAUCUUUGGGAAAGCCAUGCGAGACAUCCUCUUCUUCUGAUCCGUUGUGUCUACAUUGGGACUCAACAAGAACUCCGACAAUAGCUGAAGUGUUAGAGCUGGAGAAGAUAAACAAUGUUGAGGUUAGCACAGUGAUUGGAUUGGCUGAGGAAUACAAACAUUUGGUGGGGGCAACACAUAGUGACGAUGCUGACUUUCACAGUGUUGUGAAACUAGUUCAACAAGGAUACAAAAUGAGGAGAAGCGAUUGGGAGAAAGGUUUUGUGGAUAUGUUUGUUGCAACAGAAGAUAUAGGUCAACAACGCAAGACAAAAGACGAAGAUGCAGAGCAUGGUGAAGAUCUGAACCAUAAUGAAGAUGAAGAGGAAAAGAAAGAUGAAGAGGAAAAGACAGAUGAAGAGGAAAAUAAAGAUGAAGAGUAUCAAAAGGAUAAGGAGCAAAGAAAAGAUAAAAAUCAUUCCAUGUCUAACAGCGAGAAACUUGAUAAGCUAAUCCAAAUGGUUCGUGAUUUGGAUAAGCGAGUAGUAAUGAUCCAGAAUGUUUUAGGAGUUAAGUUUAACGACAGUUCACCAAACAAAGAAGAUUGUGAAAAUGGAGCUAGUUCUGGUGAUAGAAGAAGUGCACAAGAUUAUGAAAAUGAAGAAGAUACAAUUAAUGAAGAAGCAAACUCUGAUGAUAAAAAAAAUGCACCAGAUGAUGAAAAUGAAGAAGAUACAAUUGCUGAAGCAGCAAACUCUGAAGAUACAAUUGCUGAAGAAGCAAACUCUGGCGAUGGAAGAAGUGCACUGGAUGAUGAAAAUGAAAAAGAGAUAUGUGAUGAAGAAGCAAAAUCUGGUACAGAGCAUCAAAGGGAAGAAGAGAAUAUUCUUGGGGAAAUUGAGACUACACAAAAAAUCACUCAAGACGAAGACACAGAAAAACUUGAAUCAGAAAGUUGCUUGAAACAAACGUCGCAGGUUACGUCGCCUACUCCAACAUUCAAUACUCCAAACUUUGAUACAAGGGUUUCAUCGCCUAAUCCAACAUUUACGUCUCCUAAGUUUGAUCUCCUUUCCCAAGAAAGUCAUAGUGGAAAGGGUACAAAUGAGGUUCUUAUGAGAGAUGUUUAUGAGAUUCCUGUUUUCCAACCUCUAAUGAAAAUAAAAAAGAGAUUGGUACAACAACACAGCCAGGUAAACGAAGAUGUUGAGCCUCCACUUCAAAAGAAGUUUAAAGCUGAUACAGAUAAUGUUCCGCUAAGAAGAAGUGAAAGAGGUCAAAUACCAUCCAUUCAUACACAACCACCGUUUACAGGAGCAAGGAAGAAACAUCCGAUUCUUCAUCCCUUUGAGCCAGUUGAUAAAACAAGAAAAGAAAAAAUGAGAGAAUGGAAAAUGUCAAACAAAAGAAAGAAGCUGAGAAUCAAUCAAGAGAUAGUAAACGCAAAGUGGUUUUCGGAUAUUGAAACUCCGGGAAAAAAACUUUCAAAAACGCAUAUUGAAGCAGGUUUUGAGUUGCUGAAACUGAGACAGAUAAACAAUCCAGAUUUGUUUCUGAACAAAACUGCCUUAGUUGUUGGAGUGAAGUUUCUUGAAGAAAUAGAUGAGUUUUAUGAUGAGUUUUUAGAUGACAAGAAAGGUUUCCAAUUUGGAGCAGGCUUUGACAAGUACAACAUAGAGAAGAAUAUCAACUUCCUCUAUUCGGCCAUUGCAGUAGCAGAGAAGUAUUGGCUUGGAGUUGUAAUCAACUUGGAGAAGAGAAAUAUCACAGCAUUCAAUUGUGCAGCAAUGAAGUUCACAGAUGCGAGUUUGGUCCCUUACGUUAAUGCAUAUGCGAUGGCUCUCCCAUUCAUGAUUCGCUACUUCUUCAAAGAUGUCAGCAUGGAUACAAGCAAGUUCUCGAUAAAAAUUGUAUCUGAAGGUUUCCCACAGGUAACAUCUUUAUAACCGCUUAUAAAUCUUUAUGGUAGAUUUGUAUCCAGGUUCUUCAGAUCAAAUAACUUAUAUUAUAAUUUAUCUGCUAAUAUAUUACUAAAACAUAUUUGUUUAAGGUUCUUAAAAUAGAAGACAGUGGAGUUUAUGCAUUGAAGCUGAUAGAGUGCCAUGCAAUGCGUAUAGUGGAUUUGACAAAGCUGAGUGAAGAAAAAAUUGCAAUCAUCCGAGAAAAGUUGGCGGUUGAUAUCUUCUCGGAAUUACAAUGAAUACUAAUGUGGGAAUGAACAAAAACUUUAUAGCUUGCUUAUAGUUAUGUGUGAACAACUAUCUGUUUUAUGCGUGUUUGGUAAACUUUGUUUGUAGAAUUCUGAGUAUUAUGAGUUUAUGACUUGGAUUUAUGGUUUUCCUUAAAUUUAGAAAGUUCAAUGGUAAAUUUGUAUUUCAGUAGCUUUAUAACACAUUAUUACAAAUAGUUUAUAACCUCUUAUAAAAUCAAAACAAAAUGGUUUAUUACAAAUGAAUUUACGAUAUAUAAAGGAGUAUAUAAAAGUUAUAAAGAUUUAUAAAUCGUUUUUCAAGAGCUCAUCAGUUCAUAAAACAAAAAAGAAUUAAGGUUUAUAAAGUUGUAUAAACAACCAAAAUGAUUGAAGCAAUUUAUAAAGGCUUCUAAAUCAGUUUAUAUACAAAAAUGAUGAUAUGUAAGCAACAUUAUGAGUAUACGUGCUAAUCAUAACGAGUAAGUAAUAUGGUCUAGUGGUAAGUUGAGGUUGCUUAAAAUUUCAAUUUAGACAGAAACCCGUGUUCGACCCAUGACCUCAACGAUUUAUCUGUUUUUUUAUCAUUUACCAAAAGGGAUGGCAAAACAGUAAAUUUAACUCUUCUCACGCGACACGUCUUCAUCUUCUUCACUAUGACACGUUUUUUUUUUUGCUUUCUUGUUUUCUAUCAUUUCUUCAUCGUUUCUCUAUGUCCGUAAAUUUCAAGAAGAAGAAUCAACACAACAAUCUUCCCCAUUUUGAAUCAUUAUCGUGGCAAAAGGUAAUUGAGUUUCAUCUUCAUUUUUGAAUCAACAAUCUAAAUUGAAUUGAAUUUUUGUUUGAAACCUAAUUGAUUGACUUAAAAUCUCAAUCUGUUUCAGUUUCAGUUCCAAUUCAACUUGAAUCGAAUUUAGCAAAAGUUAAUUCAAGAACAUUCACUGUAUUCUCUUUUGAUUUUUUAUAUUCAAUUUAGAUCAAAUUGAAAUUCCUAUUUGCUUUUGUAUAUACACUCCAAAAUCGAAUUGAAUUUUUGUAUGGAACCUAAUUGAUUUAUCUAAAAUCUCAAUUUGUUUCAGUUUCUUGGAUGCAUGUCGUUCAUUUGAUCUUAAUUCACCUAGUUUCUUUCUUUUCUUGAUUUUUUUUUUGUGAUCUGCAUUUCCGAUUCCUCCUCAGGAAGAUGAAAAAUAAUUUGAAGAAAAAAGGAAAACUUUUGUCUAUUGCCAAAGAUUGUGAAGUAGAAGUAUCUAUUCAAGAAGAUGGGUUCAGAGGUUCUUGGUAUAGAGCUAUCCUCGAGCAAAAUCCGACGAGAGUAACAGGAAAAAAGCUUCGGGUUAGUUACAAAACUAUGUUCAACGAAGAUGGUGUAAGUCCUUUGAAGGAAACUAUUGAAAGAAGUUUUAUUCGGCCAGUCCCGCCAGAGUGUCUGAAUGAGGGUGUCGUAUUCAAGGAAGGGUCGGUGGUGGAUGCUUAUUUUAAUAAUGGUUGGUGGACUGGUGUUAUCGUAGUUGAAAGGCCAGAUGGUAGUUUUUUGGUUUACUUUGAUGAUCCACCAGACAUAAUGAGAUUCAUCAGAAGCCAACUGAGACCUCAUGCUGAUUGGAUCGGCUCCAAAUGGGUCAAAAGCAAAAACAAGGUAUUGUUUUUUUUUGUAUGUUUUAAGUUAUAAAAUUUUGAAUGUUUGAGGGCUUUAGCUUAUAUAUGAUUGUUUUGGAAUUGAAGGUAUUGAGUCAACACAUGUUUACGAGAGGGAAGUUGGUGGAAAUGACCCGUGAAAUUAGUGAAAGUGAAAAGGAAAAAAUUUGGGUCCGAGCAUUGGUAAUUACAGAAGUUCGGAAACAAGGAGAUGAUAGAAGAAAAUUUCUGAUCAAAAUCCGGAAACCAAUGAAGUAAGCUGAUUUAUAAAUCUUUAUAAACUGAACAAUCGUUUUAAAUUUAUAAAUCAUUAUAAAUAUGUAAUCCUUUAAUUGAAAUAGGAACAGAAACAAGAGGAAGAGGAGCAACAACAAGAGGAUGACACAGAAGUCAAUACAGAUGUUGACGUCGGUGCUAAGGAAAAUGGAUCUGAAAAUCCCGUGAAAGGUUCAAAGAAACGUGGAAGAAAGGAUGGAGAAGAAAAUGAGGAUGCAUAUGAAAAGCCCGUGAAGGUUACAAGGAAAAGUGAAAGAGUAACUAAGGUAAAUAUCUCUCUGUGUAUAAUGCUUUAUAAAAUGCUGUUUAGUAUAAUCAAUGUAACUUUUUUUAUUGUGUCAUCAAAAUUGAAGGGUGGAGAAGUAAAUGAGGAUGCAUCUGAAAAGCCCAUGAAGGGUACAAGGAAAAGUAAAAGAGGAACUAAGGUGAAUAUCUCUCAGUGUAUAAGGGUUUAUAAAAUGCUGUUUAGUAUAAUCAAUGUAACUUUUUUUAUUGUGUCAUCAAAAUUGAAGGGUGGAGAAGUAAAUGAGGAUGCAUCUGAAAAGCCCAUGAAGGGUACAAGGAAAAGUAAAAGAGGAACUAAGGUGAAUAUCUCUCUGUGUAUAAUGCUUUAUAAAAUGUUGUUUAGUAUACUCUAUGUAACUUUUUUUAUUGUGUCAUCAAAAUUGAAGGAUGGAGAAGAAAAUGAGUAUGCAUAUGAAAAGCCCGUGAAGGUUACAAGGAAAAGUGAAAGAGUAACUAAGGUAAAUAUCUCUCUGUGUAUAAUAGUUUAUAAAAUGUUCUUUCUGAUUAUCAUUUCUGAUUUACAAAGGCUGUUAUUAAAAUCGAAAUUGCUAAGUUAUUUAUUUGUCUUGUAAUAUAAGGGAAAGAAGAAAGGUGUAACACCCCCACGUGAAGUACAACAACAAGUAGAAGAUCAUGCAGAAACCAAUGAAGUAAGCUGAUUUAUAAGUCUUUAUAAACUGAUUGACUUUUUAAAUGUUUAAUAUGCUCUAUGUAACUUUACUUAUUGUGUCAUUAAAAUUGAAGGAUGGAGAAGGGAAUGAGGAUGCAUCUAAAAAGCACGUGAAGUUUACAAAGAAGAAUGGAAGAGGAAAUAAGGUAAAUAUCUCUCUAUGUAUAAUGGUUUAUAAAAUAUUCUUUCAAAUUUCAUUGACUACAUCCAAUUAUCAUUUCUGAUUU